CCUACGGGGGGCAGCAGUGGGGAAUAUUGCACAAUGGGCGCAAGCCUGAUGCAGCCAUGCCGCGUGUGUGAAGAAGGCCUUCGGGUUGUAAAGCACUUUCAGCGGGGAGGAAGGCGUUAAGGUUAAUAACCUUGUCGAUUGACGUUACCCGCAGAAGAAGCACCGGCUAACUCCGUGCCAGCAGCCGCGGUAAUACGGAGGGUGCAAGCGUUAAUCGGAAUUACUGGGCGUAAAGCGCACGCAGGCGGUCUGUCAAGUCGGAUGUGAAAUCCCCGGGCUCAACCUGGGAACUGCAUUCGAAACUGGCAGGCUAGAGUCUUGUAGAGGGGGGUAGAAUUCCAGGUGUAGCGGUGAAAUGCGUAGAGAUCUGGAGGAAUACCGGUGGCGAAGGCGGCCCCCUGGACAAAGGCUGACGCUCAGGUGCGAAAGCGUGGGGAGCAAACAGGAUUAGAUACCCCAGUAGUC
RNAcentral lists this ribosomal RNA (465 nucleotides) under uncultured Klebsiella sp. RNAcentral describes it as "bacterial SSU rRNA". It matches the Rfam family "Bacterial small subunit ribosomal RNA", at positions 338 to 795 of the family's 1533-position model. Lineage: Bacteria; Pseudomonadati; Pseudomonadota; Gammaproteobacteria; Enterobacterales; Enterobacteriaceae. The record is from RNAcentral.